AUCAAGUCGAGAUUCUUUCUGUUCAAGUUUAAGUUUAUUUUGACUAAACAUAAUUUGAAUUUUGAGGUUCAUUUACUUAUCAAAACUUCGGAACUGAUUUAUUGUCCAAACAAUAAUAGUUAUGUUUCUAUUCUUUUAAAGGAAAUAUUUCAUGAGAAAUAUGGAAAGUAAUGAAACUCCAGAUAAAAUUACUAUCAAAGUAAAGGUUGCUGGUGAAGAUUAUCAUGAUCUUUUGUUAGAUUGGUCAGACAGGGAAGAUAUAGGUCGACAAAUAUUUCGCCAACUUGCAUCUAUAAUAGGAAUACCAAUUUAUAAAAUGAACGGGCUUGUGAUUCAAUGCUAUCCUGAUUCUGAUCGUGAUG
Molecule: non-coding RNA, 362 nt
Organism: Tetranychus urticae (two-spotted spider mite)
Lineage: Eukaryota; Metazoa; Arthropoda; Arachnida; Trombidiformes; Tetranychidae
Source: RefSeq, a predicted model, not a curated record